This 165-nucleotide unclassified non-coding RNA is filed under the name uncultured Knufia. Its description in RNAcentral is "sequence contains ITS2". Lineage: Eukaryota; Fungi; Ascomycota; Eurotiomycetes; Chaetothyriales; Chaetothyriaceae. The record is from RNAcentral.
UCCUCCCUCAAACCCCGUGUUUGGUGUUGGGCCCGCGUUCCCGCAAGGGAACUGGCCUCAAAGACAAUGACGGCGUCCGCGGGACCCUCGGUGCAACGAGCCUUCAGGAGCACGCGCCGAGUUUCAAGGUCCCCCCGGGCCGGUCUAACCCUUUUUUACUUCUAU